GACGAACGCUGGCGGCGUGCUUAACACAUGCAAGUCGAACGAUGAAGCCAGCUUGCUGGUGGCUUAGUGGCGAACGGGUGAGUAACACGUGGGUGAUCUGCCCCAAACUUUGGGAUAAGCCUGGGAAACUGGGUCUAAUACCGAAUAUGACCGAUACUCGCAUGGGUGUUGGUGGAAAGCUCCGGCGGUUUGGGAUGGGCCCGCGGCCUAUCAGCUUGUUGGUGGGGUAAUGGCCUACCAAGGCGACGACGGGUAGCCGGCCUGAGAGGGCGACCGGCCACACUGGGACUGAGACACGGCCCAGACUCCUAUGGGAGGCAGCAGUGGGGAAUAUUGCACAAUGGGCGCAAGCCUGAUGCAGCGACGCCGCGUGAGGGAUGACGGCCUUCGGGUUGUAAACCUCUUUCACCAGGGACGAAGCGAAAGUGACGGUACCUGGAGAAGAAGCACCGGCCAACUACGUG
RNAcentral lists this ribosomal RNA (464 nucleotides) under uncultured bacterium. RNAcentral describes it as "partial 16S ribosomal RNA". It matches the Rfam family "Bacterial small subunit ribosomal RNA", at positions 28 to 507 of the family's 1533-position model. The record is from RNAcentral.